RNAcentral lists this ribosomal RNA (465 nucleotides) under uncultured bacterium. RNAcentral's name for it is "partial 16S ribosomal RNA". It matches the Rfam family "Bacterial small subunit ribosomal RNA", at positions 338 to 795 of the family's 1533-position model. The record is from RNAcentral.
CCUACGGGAGGCAGCAGUGGGGAAUAUUGCGCAAUGGGCGAAAGCCUGACGCAGCGACGCCGCGUGAGGGAUGAAGGUCUUCGGAUCGUAAACCUCUGUUAGCAGGGAAGAACGGUCACUGUGCUAAUCAGCAGUGAAUCGACGGUACCUGCAAAGGAAGCACCGGCUAACUCCGUGCCAGCAGCCGCGGUAAUACGGAGGGUGCGAGCGUUAAUCGGAAUUACUGGGCGUAAAGCGCUCGUAGGCGGUAUGUCAAGUCAAGGGUGAAAUCCCCGGGCUCAACGUGGGAACUGCAUUGGAAACUGGCAAACUUGAGUGUGUGAGAGGAUAGUGGAAUUCGAGGUGUAGGAGUGAAAUCCGUAGAUAUCUGGAGGAACAUCAGUGGCGAAGGCGACUAUCUGGCACGUAACUGACGCUGAGGAGCGAAAGCGUGGGUAGCAAACAGGAUUAGAUACCCGUGUAGUC